AACGAACGCUGGCGGCAUGCCUAACACAUGCAAGUCGAACGAGACCUUCGGGUCUAGUGGCGCACGGGUGCGUAACGCGUGGGAACCUGCCCUUAGGUUCGGAAUAACUCCCCGAAAGGGGUGCUAAUACCGGAUAAUGUCUUCGGACCAAAGAUUUAUCGCCUUUGGAGGGGCCCGCGUUGGAUUAGCUAGUUGGUAGGGUAAAAGCCUACCAAGGCGACGAUCCAUAGCUGGUCUGAGAGGAUGAUCAGCCACACUGGGACUGAGACACGGCCCAGACUCCUACGGGAAGGAGCAGUGGGGAAUAUUGGACAAUGGGCGAAAGCCUGAUCCAGCAAGGCCGCGUGAGUGAUGAAGGCCGUAGAGUUGUAAAGCGCUUUUACCCGGGAUGAUAAUGACAGUACCGGGAGAAUAAGCUCCGGCUAACUCCGUG
RNAcentral lists this ribosomal RNA (433 nucleotides) under uncultured bacterium. RNAcentral's name for it is "partial 16S ribosomal RNA". It matches the Rfam family "Bacterial small subunit ribosomal RNA", at positions 29 to 507 of the family's 1533-position model. The record is from RNAcentral.